UCACAACCCAUCGCGACCCCCUCGGUUCCCCUCGUCCGAUUCCCUCAGUAUCCAGACGAUUUGGCCCUCGGAAUCGAGCGCACGAAGCUCGCCGGAUCUCCCCAGUCGACGUCGCUUUACCGCUCGAUUCCACCACGUACGGUACAUCCCGAGUGCCCCCUCGAGCUACAUACUUAUCGUAUCUGUGUGCCGCAUCUCCCUGACCCUUUAUUUCACUUGCAAAGGGCACCAGCAGGAGCUCCCCAACUCGCACUCGAAGGAUGCCGGCGCCGCCCAACUUCGUCGGUGCCCAGCCGCCGCAAGACACCUCCCAAGGGCAUCCCAACGAGGCCAUCGACAUCGCCGUGAAGCUCUGCGCACCGUUCGCUCCUUCAUGACGUCCUAAGAGGACCACAUCGACGCUACGGGCCACUUUUCGAUGCCCCGCCGCCGCGCCAUGGUCGCUGGAGUUCCUUCCGGUGAGGAAUUCCCCUUUGUUUGCAACCCUAGCCCCAAUAAUACAGUGGCCGUCUGGUCUAACUUCAUCCAACGGCAGGCAACAACAGGUAAUGCAAAGGAGCAAUUCAAAUUUGAAUUCAUACCUUCAUUUGAUCAUAUCGGGUGAACCAUGACAUCUUUUCAAUUGAUUCCUUUUGCGUCUGAACCUUUGUGCCAAAUACUUGCUGGUCAUAUCAUGUAGACUCAAAUUUCAAAUACUUUUUACCUGGUUGAAUUUAAAUUUAAUUCAAACUCUAUUUCGCUAAGUUGCAUUAUAGUACUCCUAUUCAAUUCAUCCUUUUUGAAAAUGAACACCUAUGUCGCAUGCAACAUUUCAAACAACAUUUAUGUUGUGUUCCAUAAACCCUUGGCACUUUUCCAUACUAUCCUUGAUACAAACUUGUAUAGCAAUAAUUCAUCAUGUGUUAGCUCUUUUGACUUGAUCCUUCUACCUUCACCUCUAGCACCAUCGAGAACCCAUAUCAUAUAUUAAGCCCAACUAUAUUGAUUUUGUUUAACCUUGCCGUAUUUGUUUUAUUAUUCUUUUUAUUCUUAUCUAUGGCAUGGUUAUUUAUUUGGAUUCUUUAUUUUGCGAUAGAUUGCUCGGAGCGUGACGAGUAGCAUUGUCAGGAAUUGUGAGUGCGACAAUCUUCACCAAAAGUACCAGGCAAGUUACACCUUGAUCAUCCUUCAUCCUAUUAUUUUUUUCUAUGCAUGUAGUUAUAUAUAGCAUAUUACUAUAUUAUGCAUGUGAGGAAUAUUAUGAUAUUAGGCUAUUGCUAUUGAGAUGCAGUUAGUAUGGCCUUAUUGUAGACCACGGUAGUUGUAUUCUUGCUAUGCUAUGUAGAGGGAUCGGCUUGUGUACUCAUCGAGAUUAUGUGAGGAUUAUAUAUAAUAAUUUAUGUAUUAACUUAAAAUAUAAUUCACCUCGGGGUGGAAGCGGUAUUGCUUGGUGUUGAGGGAAGGCAUGAUGGGGUCUUGCACCUUUUCUAAGGCCAUGCGCCCAUGAGAGUGCACCCUAAGUGGAAUGUCGCCCAGGUUCAAAAAGAUCAGACAGACUUAGUGACUAGUAGCUUCCAUGUGCGGCCACUGGCUAUAUGGGCUCUAGCUUAGUUGAUCAGUUGUUGGAACCCUAGCCCAGACAGUGUCGGCAGAUGUAGCAUAUGUAGGUGGGAUGUGGCCGUUAGGUGGUUAAGGGAACCUCUUCUGAAAGACUUCGUCUCAAUCUUCAGAUUGGGUCCAGUGGUAAAGCGUACUAAACUCUGUAGAGUAUUAAAAACUAAUCAUGAUUAGCCGUGUCCCCGGUUAUGGACAAAUUUGAGCAGCUAGACCAUUACAGCUGUUGGAUGAUCUUGACAAAUGAUACCUUAAUAAAAAUUUGAGUGGGAAACUUAAUAAUUGGGAUAGGUUGGAAUAGGAUUGCCCAAUUCAGCCAUGUGUAUUUAAUUGUAGCAAGACAUAAUUAAAAUUUGGCUAUUAUAUUAUGUAGUUAUCAGGGAAAAUUAGCUUUUCUGCAAAACAGCCACUGCAUUAUCCUCUUGAUAUACCUUGCAUAUAGAUGUAGGUCUGUUAUAUCAUUCCUUGUGUGACUUGCCAAUACAUUCAAAGUAUUGACCCUUUGUGGCUGCAAUGUUUCAUGUUGCAGAUUUUAUAUGACGAGUGAGUGAUACGAUGUAGGGUUACAAUGUCUAUACUCAACAUUUGCCUGUGGUGUUGAUGGACUCCAUCAAGAUUUUAUUUGUUUUCCGCUGUAUUUUUGUUAUGAGCUAGCCUUGAGCUAUGCAGGUAUGUAUUAUAUUAAAUUAUGGAUCUGCGAUGUACUAUUAUGACAUGUGGUUUAUUCUUGAUAUUACAUCUUGAAUUGUGUGUGCUAGCUAUUGAUCCAGG
Molecule: long non-coding RNA, 2364 nt
Filed under: Triticum aestivum (bread wheat)
Lineage: Eukaryota; Viridiplantae; Streptophyta; Magnoliopsida; Poales; Poaceae
Description: long non-coding RNA (TAES_LNC028534)
Source: RNAcentral